UAAUACGGAGGGUGCAAGCGUUAAUCGGGAUUACUGGGCGUAAAGCGCACGCAGGCGGUUUGUUAAGUCAGAUGUGAAAUCCCCGGGCUCAACCUGGGAACUGCAUUUGAAACUGGCAAGCUAGAGUCUCGUAGAGGGGGGUAGAAUUCCAGGUGUAGCGGUGAAAUGCGUAGAGAUCUGGAGGAAUACCGGUGGCGAAGGCGGCCCCCUGGACGAAGACUGACGCUCAGGUGCGAAAGCGUGGGGAGCAAACAGGAUUAGAUACCCUGGUAGUCCACGCUGUAAACGAUGUCGAUUUGGAGGUUGUGCCCUUGAGGCGUGGCUUCCGGAGCUAACGCGUUAAAUCGACCGCCUGGGGAGUACGGCCGCAAGGUUA
This 376-nucleotide ribosomal RNA is filed under the name uncultured Serratia sp. Its description in RNAcentral is "bacterial SSU rRNA". It matches the Rfam family "Bacterial small subunit ribosomal RNA", at positions 521 to 896 of the family's 1533-position model. Lineage: Bacteria; Pseudomonadati; Pseudomonadota; Gammaproteobacteria; Enterobacterales; Yersiniaceae. The record is from RNAcentral.